Molecule: ribosomal RNA, 253 nt
Filed under: uncultured bacterium
Lineage: Bacteria
Description: partial 16S ribosomal RNA
Rfam family: Bacterial small subunit ribosomal RNA
Source: RNAcentral
UACGAAGGGGGGCUAGCGUUGCUCGGAAUCACUGGGCGUAAAGCGCACGUAGGCGGCUUUUUAAGUCAGGGGUGAAAUCCUGGGCUCAACUCCAGAACUGCCUUUGAUACUGAGAGGCUCGAGUCCGGGAGAGGUGAGUGGAACUGCGAGUGUAGAGGUGAAAUUCGUAGAUAUUCGCAAGAACACCAGUGGCGAAGGCGGCUCACUGGCCCGGUACUGACGCUGAGGUGCGAAAGCGUGGGGAGCAAACAGG